GGGCCUGUAGCUCAGCUGGGAGAGCGCUGCGUUCGCAUCGCAGAGGUCGGGAGUUCGAAUCUCCUCGGGUCCACCA
RNAcentral lists this transfer RNA (76 nucleotides) under Bacillota bacterium. Its description in RNAcentral is "tRNA-Ala". It matches the Rfam family "tRNA". Rfam says of the family: Transfer RNA (tRNA) molecules are approximately 80 nucleotides in length. Their secondary structure includes four short double-helical elements and three loops (D, anti-codon, and T loops). The record is from RNAcentral. Lineage: Bacteria; Bacillati; Bacillota.